This 1287-nucleotide long non-coding RNA is filed under the name Salmo salar (Atlantic salmon). RNAcentral describes it as "lncRNA (ENSSSAG00000111004.1)". The record is from RNAcentral. Lineage: Eukaryota; Metazoa; Chordata; Actinopteri; Salmoniformes; Salmonidae.
GAAAACCAUCAGUCAUGUUUGUCACUUCAUCAAUAAAGGCGGGAAUGUAGCUCACGCGCGCCACUGCCAAUACCCUGUCGAUAUUGAUGAGCUCCAGGUGGUCAAGCAUCUCGUGACAACCGAAUGAGUGGCGCGCAGUUACAUCCAACAGAUGACACGUAUGGUGUCGCAUUUCAGGAGUUUUCGAUACCCCAACAUUUGCUUGUAGAGUGUAACUAAAAUACACAGUUCAUUAUUCAAGAGUCUGAUUUUGUAGGAUACGUUUUUCUAUCAAUGUGUCAUUCCAGAAACAUAGAAAGUCACCUCAACUGCGACGGAAAAUAGUAGACGUGUCCUGUCCCUAAAGUUAGAUAUGGAAGAUGGCUUCGUGCAGGGUCAGAGGGUGGACACAGGAGGACAAACCCACCCCUGAGAGUCCUAUAGAGUAAGAGCCACCAGAAGCCCACCCCUAACCCAGCCCAGAGGAGGUCACGUUGUGUCACCACAGCAAAGUCCUCUGGGUAAAUAACCCCUCAAGUCUCAGUGCCUCACCGCUGCCACCACCUGAGGGGCGAGAGAGAGACGGCCCCACAGGACAACGAGCUGGAACUCAAAACAACUGGCAGUGGUUUGGAACAAAAUAAGACUAUUUGGCCAAAAUCUUGAUUUCUUUUUCAGUUACCUUUUGAAGUGAACAAAAUGGUUUGCUUUUUAGAUAAUGUAAUGGAACAAUUUGUGUUGUGCUCAUUCAAGGCCAUGGUUCUGUGAUACGGGCUGUUGCAGUGUGCAGCACUAGAAUUUAGUAAAGGUGUCCAUUUUUAGCCUUCACCAAUGUUUACUUCAUUUCUUCACUGGUUCAUUGCUUCAUUGUUUACUGGUUUGUUGCUUUACUGGUUUGCCGGUAACGGUAAGUUCAAUAAAGGUUUUUAAAAAAAAAAAAAAGAAUAUAUAAUACUUCACCGCUCCAUGUAGGCUCAGGCAAAAACGAGCGGUCUGCUGUCCCAUGAAGUAACACCCUGCUGUGGUUUGAUGUGAUGACAUGGAACAGGAGGGAGCAUAUGGAAGUUGCUCUCCAGGGAUUGAAUUAUUCCCUUUGUGUGUUUCUCUCAGCCCAGUGCUGCCAGGUGCAGGUGUAGUGACAUUUAGAUUUCACUGAGCAGAUCACAUGGCUGUCAGAUGGAGGGACAGAGAUGAAUGUAACGCAGCAUCAGAUGGGGGGACAAAGAUGAAUGUAACUCAGCAUCAGAUGGGGUUGGAGACAGGGGGGUAGAUGAAUGUAACCCAGCAUCAGAUGGUGGUGGAGACGGG